GAGAGAGAGAGAGAGAGAGAGAGAGAUCAGACCCACUAGAAAGUAGAAAACAGAUGAGAUCCAUUCUUUCUCUCUCUACUAAACAUUCUUCUCUUUUCCCUUUUUAAGCUUUUCUUUCUCUUUUUUGUUUGGGGAAAAAUCUCACAAUCUGGAAGUCCAACUAAAACCUCACACUAUUAAGAAAAACCCACAAAAGAUAGUCUCUGUGUUUGUGGUUUUGCUUUUCUUCUU
This 231-nucleotide unclassified non-coding RNA is filed under the name Hevea brasiliensis (rubber tree). Lineage: Eukaryota; Viridiplantae; Streptophyta; Magnoliopsida; Malpighiales; Euphorbiaceae. The record is from RNAcentral.